CGAACGGCUCCGUAUAUCUGUUAUCACCACUAGCCCAUUAUAGAGUAAUAUACACGAGCGGAUAUGGCUCGGUAAUUCUGUCAGUAAUACGUGAACGUGCACUCCGUGCUGCUGUGUGGGUGUGCCGGCGAAAGCCAAACAGGAAACUGUUCUGUGCCCCCCUAAGCAAAAGCUGGUCUCAUAGUCUGACCCGCGUUAUAGGCGUCAAGUCUGUUCGCAGGAAAGCGCAUGAGGGAACCUGACCACUCCAGGGUGGCGGAGGCUAUGGGUUUCAGACCUAUCAACUUGAGGACCGGGUUAUGUCCAGUCCUGGUGAUAACGGGUACAGAGGAUCAGGGUUCGAUCCUGGAGAGGUAGCCUGAGAGAUCGCUACUACUUCUAAGGAAGGCAGCAGGCGCGCAACGUUCCCAAUGGGUAAUAGACCAACCUGAGGACGUGAAGGGACAUAACGAUGCCCGGCCCAUAAAGGCGGGGUAAUCGUAAUGGGGAAAUCUUAAACCCCCCACCGAGUAACAAUUGGAGGACAAGUCUG
This 532-nucleotide ribosomal RNA is filed under the name uncultured Arcyria. RNAcentral describes it as "bacterial SSU rRNA". It matches the Rfam family "Eukaryotic small subunit ribosomal RNA", at positions 90 to 563 of the family's 1831-position model. Lineage: Eukaryota; Evosea; Eumycetozoa; Trichiida. The record is from RNAcentral.